RNAcentral lists this ribosomal RNA (253 nucleotides) under uncultured bacterium. Its description in RNAcentral is "partial 16S ribosomal RNA". It matches the Rfam family "Bacterial small subunit ribosomal RNA", at positions 524 to 776 of the family's 1533-position model. The record is from RNAcentral.
UACGUAGGGUGCGAGCGUUGUCCGGAAUUAUUGGGCGUAAAGAUCUCGUAGGCGGUCUGUCGCGUCUGCUGUGAAAUCCCGAGGCUCAACCUCGGGCUUGCAGUGGGUACGGGCAGGCUAGAGUGCGGUAGAGGAGAAUGGAAUUCCUGGUGUAGCGGUGAAAUGCGCAGAUAUCAGGAAGAACACCCGUGGCGAAGGCGGCUCUCUGGGACGGUACUGACGCUGAGACGCGAAAGCGUGGGGAGCGAACAGG